Non-coding RNA from Nylanderia fulva, 2832 nucleotides. The record is from RefSeq and is a predicted model, not a curated record. Lineage: Eukaryota; Metazoa; Arthropoda; Insecta; Hymenoptera; Formicidae.
UCCAUAUCUGCGAGCUUCCGAGUUUUUCUUCGUCCUUCGUCGGUCUCUCAUGGUGAAGUCACACCUUGCAGUCGCCUUGGAUGCAAUUUUGUCCUCGUCCCUCUUCGAGAUCGCACGUAUCGAGAUAAGAGCGAGUAAUCGUGUUUUUGCGAGUACCAUGUUGAAGCAACCAAGGACGAACAAAAGAAAAGGAAGAGAAGUCUGGAGAGGCAACGAUAAAGCAAUCCUGGGGGAUGAUACCAGGCAAUCAGCUGAGCUUUCGAUCCCGCCGUUAUGACGUAGAUGAAGAUAGUAGUGGUGAUCCGCUGUUGUCGCAGUGAGUCAGUAUUUGGACAAGAGCCCCGCGCUCAUUGCCAGCGUGCGAUUCUACUUUCACCAGCUUACACCCCAGGACAUCGUCUUUUGCAACCGGCGCGCGCUCGUCCAUCAGCUGUGCUCAACUGAAAACGUCGGGAUUUCCCGUAGAAAUCGUCGUAACACGAAGAACAAUUGACAGGCAAAUAUGUGGAGACGCUAUAGCGAUGCGGUUUUGCCACCAAAUUUUUAUUAUAAUAUUAAUUAUUAUUAUUUUAUUUUAUUUUUCUAUUAUUGUGACUAUUAGUCACAUGAUGAAUCCUCUGAGAUUACAUAAUCACGAAAAGACGCAUGUUAAAAAUUAAAUUGUAUAGUCGACACUCUUCUGCAAUCUUUGUAUCAAUUUUAAUGAAAUGUUGUAGCAAGAUUUUGUAUACAUUCGAAAAAGAGAGAAGCAUUUCGAGAUAACAUCCAUGAAUUUCAACUCGUAGUCACUUUUAAUGCAUCGUCAAUUUAUUUUAUUAUGUCGAAGUCGAUCGAGAAGCGUCGACCGAAUUAAUAUGUGCAACUUCCUUGCAUCCAUCGAUUUUCUCUCUCUCUCUCUCUCUUCAUCAUUGGAUAUCCUUCCUCGGUGCUCCGAUCAAAGACCCUCGGGCCAUGGUAUAGAUGUUGCAGAGCGGAUCGCAGGCUAGCGCGCGCGCGCGCAAUGGCGCACAUAUACAUAUAUAUAUAUAUAUGCACACAUAGACACAUGCGCAAUACACCCACCGUCAUCUCGCGUACCUGCCGGGAAUAGAUUAGCCAUGUGUUGGCGCAUUGUCGUAGGGACACAUGUAGGCUCUAAGUAGAUUGCGUGUGUUAGUUGCGCAAACAUGUCUGCAGCGUUGUCAGGCGGGCAGGAAAUUACGUCCGCCUUUAGCCGCUCUCUAUAUUACGCCACCCCCUGGGUACACCCGCUCACACACACACACACACACACACGUAACCCUUGCCUGUCGUCAUCCCGCAGAGAGACGCACACAUAUACAUCACACCUACAUCUGUGUACGUGUAUGCGCGCGGGCGCGCAACACCACCCGGUCUAAGGACGAGGCGGCCUCGUCGUAUAGGUACGUAUCUACCCUAUACCUACCUACCUGAGCUGAAGAUACGUGUGUACAUAAGCGGCGUGUGUACCGCGCGGUAUGGCAGAGAUACCUCGGGCUAACAAUAAUGCGACUAGUUGCAAAUGGGACGGAUACCCGUAUACCUGCCGACGUGACGACGUGUAAGAUGACAGCGGCUGUGUGUGACGUCCGUCGCCUCGAGAUCCCGCGAGAUCGCGGCCACGUGGGCGUGAAGCGUCAUUAGCGCUAGAUAUCAUUCCGCGAUACUGUCGAACGCGUCUCGCGAAAACGCUGAUAACAUACUGGCUCGACAAAAAAAAAUGACUUUUUUUCCAACACCGGAACGAGACUAAUUGUUUCUUAUAGUUUUUUUGUGCUGAAUACGAAUCCGAUUUCCAAAUUGCUCACGUCACAUUUUUAAUUUAAGUUGCAAAAAGGGUAUUUUCACGAACUUUGUCAUAUUAUAACUAGAAUAUGUGGCGUGCUGGAGAAAUUUUAUUGCAAUUAAAAUAAAGUAUGUUGUUAGGACUUUUAACCCUUAAAAGGAAUUUCGGGUGUUAUUUAUGGUUAAUAAAAUAUCUAUGGUUAAAUAUGAGCUGUGUUGCAAAAGUUUGCUAUGACAGCUUAUUACAGUUAAAUCGUUGACGAAACUAUAAGAAACGACUAGUCUCGUCAUGGUUAAUUUUUUUUGUUGAACAAUGAUAAUAAUCGCGCGAAUGGAAGGCGAAUGUAGCACGAUGAUGCCGAUAGCGAAGUUAAACUUAAAUGUCGCUAUUAAACGAAACGGGGAACGCGUCUUCAAAUACCGUAAAAAUUGCGUUUAUCAGUCCAUCGCGAGUCACCUUCUUCACUCUAUUCAAAUUACAUUGUAAACGUCUAUACGGAUAUUAGAUACACGUGUUUGCCUGGGAAUAUCAGACGUCAAUACUAAUUGCCCGACACAAUCGAUAGCGUCGCAGAAAAUGCAAUUUUUUAUUAACGCUCUGUCUACGUCGUUUUUGUUUUCAGGGAUAUCGAUUUUUUUUAUUAAUCAGUCAGAAUAACAUCAGAUAUAAUGUCGUUUUUCGCGAAGAUGACUGCGAAUCACGGCGGAUUUUCGCAGGUGCUCGAAAAGAUGGGCAUUUCUGUCCGUCUUCCGUGGUCUACCCUUAUGUAUCCGCAUCGCCGGUGCCUGCCAUUGAAUCAUUGGACACUUAUACCGAGCUCGCACGGGCCCGUCCAAACAUUUCGGACAGCCUAAGGAAACACAUUUGCCUGCGAGCAAACACGCCGCGGCGAGUCGCGUCUUGUCGCAGCAGCCUCCGGCACCAAAGUGGAACGCGGAAUGUGUCUGGGACUCUGUUUGCACUGCAGGACAAUAUUCCGCGUCUUUCAAAGGGCACGAGAGGAAAGAGAGAGCGCGGUAUUAUUGCGUCUUUCGCGUUUGCGCGAC